GAUGAACGCUAGCUACAGGCUUAACACAUGCCAGUCGCGGGGCAGCAUGGGGGUUGCUUGCAAUCCCCGAUGGCGACCGGCGCACGGGUGAGUAACGCGUAUCCAACCUGCCCUUCACCACGGGAUAACCCGGCGAAAGUCGGACUAAUACCGUAUGUUGUCCAUUGACGGCAUCCGAUUUGGACGAAAGGUUUGGCGGUGAAGGAUGGGGAUGCGUCCGAUUAGCUGGACGGCGGGGUGACGGCCCACCGUGGCGACGAUCGGUAGGGGUUCUGAGAGGAAGGUCCCCCACACUGGAACUGAGACACGGUCCAGACUCCUACGGGAGGCAGCAGUGAGGAAUAUUGGGCAAUGGGCGUAAGCCUGAACCAGCCAAGUAGCGUGCAGGAGGACGGCCCUAUGGGUUGUAAACUGCUUUUAUGCGGGGAUAAAGUGGCCCACGUGUGGGUUUUUGCAGGUACCGCAUGAAUAAGGACCGGCUAAUUCCGUG
Molecule: ribosomal RNA, 490 nt
Filed under: uncultured bacterium
Lineage: Bacteria
Description: partial 16S ribosomal RNA
Rfam family: Bacterial small subunit ribosomal RNA
Source: RNAcentral